Molecule: long non-coding RNA, 759 nt
Organism: Meriones unguiculatus (Mongolian gerbil)
Lineage: Eukaryota; Metazoa; Chordata; Mammalia; Rodentia; Muridae
Exons: 5
Source: RefSeq, a predicted model, not a curated record
GUGGGGAGAAGGCUCAGCUGUGAGAAAACCUUCAGUGCUGCCCAGCUGUAUCCAUAAGCUUGUCCCUAAGCAGCACUUUUGCUAAUAACCAGUCCCUAAUCUUUUCUUUCUUUCAAAUACUGUUAUGUUAAUUAAUGGCAGAAAAAGUGCUGGGGGAGGGCAUGCACAACUGGAAAAAAAUGAUGGGUUCAGCCGAGAUCACACCAUCCAGCUUUUUGAGUCAUUACAGGAGUAUUAGGUCCUCUCCGGGCAUGGUCAUUGGUUGGAGUGUCAGCCUCUACAGAACCCCCCUGGGCUCAAGUUUUUUGGCUCCUUGGUUCCUUGGUCUCCUUGUGGGGCUCCUGUCCCUUCCAGAUGUAAAAACUUGCUCUGUGGCUUAAGCUGGCCCAGAACUCACACUCAUCUUCCUAUGCCAGCUUCCUGAGAACAUUCUAUUUUCUUCAGGGAUGUAGUGCCAUGUUCCAGUAGGACUCCUGUACCAAGCUGCACAUUGGCAUCAUGAAGAAGACUGAGCAGAUUUAAACAAAGAGCCCAAGAAUACAAGAGGGAAAAAUGUCUUGGAAGGAUUGCAGGACCUUUCAGAGACACAAUACCAACACUGCUAUGUUGCUGAAGAUUCUUAGAGAUAAAUUGAGAUGUUCUCAGUGAAAGUGAUUGAUGAUACUUCCAGCUUCUGUCACAUGAAACGGGAACAACUAUAAAUGGAGAUAUAAUCAAAUAAGCAAACAUGGAAAUGGAAUUUUCAGUUGAUAAAGCGGA